Molecule: unclassified non-coding RNA, 290 nt
Filed under: Serendipitaceae sp.
Lineage: Eukaryota; Fungi; Basidiomycota; Agaricomycetes; Sebacinales; Serendipitaceae
Description: partial contains 5.8S ribosomal RNA, internal transcribed spacer 2, and large subunit ribosomal RNA
Source: RNAcentral
CGCACCUUGCACCCUUUGGUAUUCCGAAGGGUAUGCUCGUUUGAGUGUCAUUGUAACCUCACACCCAAGACUUCUUGUCGAGGGAGGUGGAUUUGGAUGCUGCUGUGUUAACUACGGCUCAUCUUAAAAGUAUUAGUGCGGCUCGUUGACUUGCGCUAUAAAGCCUAAUGUAAUAAGUUUUUCAUUGGGCAAGCAAGACUCUGUGGCUUUUGUGCUCUCUAACCGUCCCUUGUGGACAAAUACUCUGACAAUUUGACCUCAAAUCGAGUAGGACUACCCGCUGAACUUAA